AUUGAACGCUGGCGGCAUGCCUUACACAUGCAAGUCGAACGGCAGCACGGGUGCUUGCACCUGGUGGCGAGUGGCGAACGGGUGAGUAAUACAUCGGAACGUACCUUAUCGUGGGGGAUAACGCAGCGAAAGCUGUGCUAAUACCGCAUACGCCCUGAGGGGGAAAGCGGGGGAUCGCAAGACCUCGCGCGAUUAGAGCGGCCGAUGCCUGAUUAGCUAGUUGGUGGGGUAAAAGCCCACCAAGGCGACGAUCAGUAGCUGGUCUGAGAGGACGAGCAGCCACACUGGGACUGAGACACGGCCCAGACUCCUACGGGAGGCAGCAGUGGGGAAUUUUGGACAAUGGGGCAACCCUGAUCCAGCAAUGCCGCGUGAGUGAAGAAGGCCUUCGGGUUGUAAAGCUCUUUUGUCAGGGAAGAAACACCGGCUCUAACACAGUCCGGGAAUGACGGUACCUGAAGAAUAAGCACCGGCUAACUACGUGCCAGCCGCCGCCGUAA
RNAcentral lists this ribosomal RNA (500 nucleotides) under uncultured bacterium. RNAcentral's name for it is "partial 16S ribosomal RNA". It matches the Rfam family "Bacterial small subunit ribosomal RNA", at positions 29 to 523 of the family's 1533-position model. The record is from RNAcentral.